AUCGCUUCUCGGCCUUUUGGCUAAGAUCAAGUGUAUUAUCCUGCCGUGCAGGACUUCUUAGAAUCUAUUGUUUCUCAGAAUUUAAAUUCUUACCUUCGCACCACCCCUU
This is a small nuclear RNA of Bos grunniens (domestic yak), 109 nucleotides long. Its record names the gene U2. It matches the Rfam family "U2 spliceosomal RNA". From Rfam's summary of the family: U2 is a small nuclear RNA (snRNA) component of the spliceosome (involved in pre-mRNA splicing). Complementary binding between U2 snRNA (in an area lying towards the 5' end but 3' to hairpin I) and the branchpoint sequence (BPS) of the intron results the bulging out of an unpaired adenosine, on the BPS, which initiates a nucleophilic attack at the intronic 5' splice site, thus starting the first of two transesterification reactions that mediate splicing. Lineage: Eukaryota; Metazoa; Chordata; Mammalia; Artiodactyla; Bovidae. The record is from Ensembl.